CCGAGACUGCAGGCCGCCGCCGGGUCGGACUAGACGGAAGAAAAUAUCCACGCCUAUUGAAGAUGUUUCAAAUGCAACUGUUAAACGUGAGAAUAGUGGCUGGAGAUGUUUCAAACUUGUUUUACCUCUUGGUGGACAUUAAGACCUAUCGUGUGCUCUCUGUCAUCUCGGUGUAAUUUACUCUCGAAUCCUACCCUCACAUGGAACAGUCUGUCAUAGGUUGAGUUGGGUCCGUGCUGCAAAAACACAACAGGAAUUCAAACAUUUGAUCCGUCUGGUACAACUUCUCAAAGUUCCCAAGACGCUGAGUUGCUCUGUCACUAAGGAGCAGUGUGAAGGACAUGAUGUCUAAGGUG
This is a long non-coding RNA of Asterias rubens (European starfish), 356 nucleotides long. RefSeq lists it as uncharacterized. NCBI's taxonomy places the organism in Eukaryota, Metazoa, Echinodermata, Asteroidea, Forcipulatida, Asteriidae. The record is from RefSeq and is a predicted model, not a curated record. The transcript has 3 exons.